AGAGUUUGAUCAUGGCUCAGGACGAACGCUGGCGGCGUGCCUAACACAUGCAAGUCGAGCGGGGAUAUACUUAAGGUUUACCGGAAGUAUAUCCUAGCGGCGGACGGGUGAGUAACGCGUGGGUAACCUACCUCAUACAGGGGGAUAACACAGGGAAACCUGUGCUAAUACCGCAUAACAUAACGGGGCGGCAUCGUCCUGUUAUCAAAGGAGAAAUCCGGUAUGAGAUGGGCCCGCGUCCGAUUAGCUAGUUGGUGAGGUAACGGCUCACCAAGGCGACGAUCGGUAGCCGAACUGAGAGGUUGGUCGGCCACAUUGGGACUGAGACACGGCCCAGACUCCUACGGGAGGCAGCAGUGGGGAAUAUUGCGCAAUGGGGGAAACCCUGACGCAGCAACGCCGCGUGAAGGAAGAAGGCCUUCGGGUUGUAAACUUCUUUGAUUGAAAACGAAGGAAGUGACGGUACCCAAAGAACAAGCCACGGCUAACUACGUGCCAGCAGCCGCGGUAAUACGUAGGUGGCGAGCGUUGUCCGGAAUUACUGGGUGUAAAGGGCGCGUAAACCGGGAUGCAAGUCAGAUGUGAAAUUCCAUAUCUUAAAAACCCCGCUGCAUCUGAAACUGUAUCUCUUGAGUGCUGGAGAGGAAAGCGGA
This 653-nucleotide ribosomal RNA is filed under the name Acetivibrio thermocellus. RNAcentral's name for it is "bacterial SSU rRNA". It matches the Rfam family "Bacterial small subunit ribosomal RNA", at positions 8 to 665 of the family's 1533-position model. The record is from RNAcentral. Lineage: Bacteria; Bacillati; Bacillota; Clostridia; Acetivibrionales; Acetivibrionaceae.